This 451-nucleotide long non-coding RNA is filed under the name Gallus gallus (chicken). The record is from RNAcentral. Lineage: Eukaryota; Metazoa; Chordata; Aves; Galliformes; Phasianidae.
AUUUGAGUGUGCUCGCUGUGUCCGGAGUCCUCAAGGCAAUGUAGGUAUGGCACACGAAGGCCCUGCGCUCACUUGUCGGCCAGGGCGCUGUGCUGGGCCUGGCAGAACUCUGCCCUCACGCUCAGAAUCGCCAUAAAUGUGCGACGUAAAUUCCAACAGAACACCCCGGGCAUUGAGCGCGGCGCCGUUCUUCCGAGCGGGCCCGGCGCCUCCCACACCGCGGGCCGGGGGGCGCGAGGGGGGCAGGAAGGGGCGGCGGCGGCGGCGCGGAGCGGCGGGGCCCGUGACGGGGAUGGGCUGCGCGCGGCCCGCUGCGGCCCGGCCGGAGGAGACACCCGAGAGCCCCCGCGCCGCCACACGGCUCCCCGCGCGCAGGCCGCUCCCUCCCCGCCCUGCCCCGUGGUACGGCCCGCCCGGCGCUGAUUGGCACGGCGCGCCGCACACCCGCGCC